This 959-nucleotide long non-coding RNA is filed under the name Ananas comosus (pineapple). Its description in RNAcentral is "long non-coding RNA (ACOM_LNC002459)". The record is from RNAcentral. Lineage: Eukaryota; Viridiplantae; Streptophyta; Magnoliopsida; Poales; Bromeliaceae.
AAAAAAUAGAUUUAAAAUUUGGACAUUAUUUCAAAAUUUUAAUGUAAAUUUUUAAAUUUAAUUUUUAAUUUGAAUUUAAAUUAAUAUAUUAUAAAUAUAAUGUUAGUAUUUUAAUUUGAUUAUGUUUUUUAUAUCCACCUGAACCAAACAUUGACAAUGAGAAUGAUUUAUUUCGAUUCCGAUUCAGGUGAUGAACCAAACAGAAUUAGGCAAUGAGUCAUUCCGAUUCCGAUUCCAGCUUAUUUUGAUUCCGAUUUCGAUUUCGACUCCAACUUCGAGCCAAACACGCCCUGAGUUUCUCUUCUCUCUUAUUAACGUUCACGCUUCGGGGGCGUUUGGAUAGACGAAUCUAUAGAUUCAACGUAAGUCAAGUGCAGUGGUGUUUGAGUUUUUCUGAAGUGUGAUUAUUUUAUUGUUGUUUGUUUUGAUGUAACUCGUACAGUCUGAAAUUCAAUUAUUUCUUCUGUUUAUUUUUAUGUAACUUGGUCCUGAUGAAAUUAAUUUUUUAAGUUUUAUUGUUUGUUUUGAUUUAAGUAAGUGAAUCCCGUUAUCUUCUAAAUAUAGUGAUAAAUUUAACUUAUUAUAUAAUUAAAUUUUUUAUUAUUGUUUAAAGAUAAUCCUAACUUAUUAUAAAUAAGAUAAUUCUAACCCAUUAUAAAGUAAAUAGAAUUUAGACUUUAUUAUUUAAUAAAUUUUUUAGAGGGGGUUGUGUGUGGCGGAAGUCGAGUUCGGCAUUUUAGAGGAGAAAGUCGAGAGUACGUGAAGUAGAAGUCUAGCGUAACUUCAGUUACACUAUAUUUUUGACUUAGAUCAAAACAAAUAAUGAAAGUGAUGGAACUUGAGUUCCAUCCCUCCACUUACACUAAAACAAAUGGACCUAUUUGGUUCAACGUAAAAUCAUAAAAAAUAAUUUUCGGUAGAAAAGAUAAUUCGAUGGAAUUUUUUUUUUUUUUUUUUUU